UCUUUUCUUUUGUUUGUUAUUUUCUUUGAAUAAGAGGAUUGAGAGUUUCUGAAUAUUGUGAAGUGAAUUAUGGAAUGGAAAUGUGAUUGAUAUUAUUUGAGAAGAAAAAAGAUUGAAUGCUGAAAUCUGAUUAUAGUUCAGCAGAGAGAAUGAGUUUGUGUUUGUAUGAAAUACUGUAAUGUGAAUGGCAGUUCUGUGUGAAGAAUUCCAAAGAUUGGAACGACGGUAAUUGUAUGCUGAAAGUUGUGAGGGCGUAGUAUUACAGUUGGAGAUUAUGAGGGUGAAUAUAUUGAUGGAAAUAACAGUUAUUGGUAUGACUGAAUUGAUGUAAGGAAGAGACUGAUAAGGUGAAGGAGGAGAUUAUAGUUUCCUUGUGUGUUCAG
RNAcentral lists this long non-coding RNA (383 nucleotides) under Physcomitrium patens. Its description in RNAcentral is "long non-coding RNA (PPAT_LNC000732)". Lineage: Eukaryota; Viridiplantae; Streptophyta; Bryopsida; Funariales; Funariaceae. The record is from RNAcentral.